CGCACGAGCGCACCCUUAUCCUUAGCUUGCCAGCACGGUAAUGGUGGGAACUCUCCCCNUNAANGGNGGUUGACAAACCGGAGGAAGGUGGGGACGACCCCUNGUCAUCAUGGCCCUUACGAGAUGGGCUACACACGUGCUACAAUGGCAAGUACAAAGGGUUGCAAACUCGCGAGAGUAAGCGGAUCCCAUAAAGCUUGUCGUAGUCCGGAUUGGAGUCUGCAACUCGACUCCAUGAAGUCGGAAUCGCUAGUAAUCGUGGAUCAGAAUGCCACGGUGAAUACGUUCCCGGGCCUUGUACACACCGCCCGUCACACCAUGGGAGUGGGCUGCAAAAGAAGUGGAUAGCUUAACCUUCGGGAGGGCGUUCACCACUUUGUGGUUCAUGACUGGGGUGAANUCGUAACAAGGUAGCCGUAGGGGAACCUGCGGCUGGAUCACCUCCUU
Molecule: ribosomal RNA, 447 nt
Filed under: uncultured Gammaproteobacteria bacterium
Lineage: Bacteria; Pseudomonadati; Pseudomonadota; Gammaproteobacteria
Description: bacterial SSU rRNA
Rfam family: Bacterial small subunit ribosomal RNA
Source: RNAcentral